This 1146-nucleotide ribosomal RNA is filed under the name Triticum aestivum (bread wheat). Its description in RNAcentral is "partial small subunit ribosomal RNA". Lineage: Eukaryota; Viridiplantae; Streptophyta; Magnoliopsida; Poales; Poaceae. The record is from RNAcentral.
AUGAGCUUACAAAAAAUUAAAUCAAAGGGCUUUAAUUAUGACAAGGAUCACUCUAAUGCACUCUGUAUACAAUGGACUGGUGAUCAGGCGAUACACAUGAUGGAGAACCAGAUUGAAGCACUGCCUCACUGGAAUCUAAAAAAUUUGAGAAUACAAGAUUAUGGAGGUGAAUCUUGUCCUAGCUGGCUCCAUCCUAACCUCCUGCCAAGGUUAAGUUCUCUGGAAUUGAGUUAUUGUAAGAACAUUCAGAGUGUAUCAUUUUUUGGGCCGUACAUUUGUGAUACAGAUCAGGAAGACAACCUUCGCUGUCUUGAAGUUUUGGACAUCAGAGGUUGUCCUCAAAUCAAUUGGCAAAGUUUUGUGGCCUUCACCCCUUCUCUUAGAAAGAUUAUCCUUCAUGACUUCGGGUAUUUCACGGAUCACUUUGUGAGCUGCUUCCACGACCUCACUGUCCUCACCGAAUGGAAAAUGUCGACCAAAUGGUUAACAUCCAUUCCCCUGCAAGUCUGGAGUAGCAAUUUUCCAGCCCUUGAGAAACUGUAUAUUGUUGAUUGUGCCUCUCUUAUGUCAGUUGGGGUCACUGACGCAAGCAGCAGCAGGAGUGUUGGAGCAUUCUCAUCCCUUAUUGUUCUAUAUAUUAGCGGCUGCAGGAAAUUGUUGAGCCUUGAUGAAUUCCUAACACCUGCUUAUCUACCUGCUGCAAAGGAAAUUUGGGUGACAUGGUGUAAUGAAUUGACGUCCCUGCCAGUUGAUAGGAUCCACCAUUUUACUUCUUUGCAGAGGCUCGUUAUUGCAAAUUGUCCAAAGUUAAAUACACCGAUGGUACUAAGAUUACCAUCCUCCCUUAAGCAUUUCAGUUUGGAGUCAUGUCUGGGCAUAGAGUGCAUCGAUAUUCGCCAGCAAGGGAGUACUCCAGCUCUGGAGGAAUUGAAAUUAACACACUGUUCAACCCUCAGAUCCGUUGGCGGUUCAAUAGCAGUUGCUCAAGUAGAGUCUGUGUAUAUUCUUCAUUGCCCAGAGCUGGUAGAUGUAAGACAGCCUCUUCGACAAGGAAACUGGUAUGUAUUAUGUCACCAGAGUAUGGUUGCAUUAUGCAUUAGCAUUUUUUUUCCUCUCAAAGUAUAUACGUGGCCAGCUAUAUGUUGA